GUGCCCGGAANGGACACUCCGGUUCUGAGCGCGCGGUCCGCACCCACCUGACGAUUGCUCGCUACGUUUUGUUAGCC
RNAcentral lists this small RNA (77 nucleotides) under Xanthomonas oryzae pv. oryzae. RNAcentral describes it as "sX9". It matches the Rfam family "Xanthomonas sRNA sX9". The record is from RNAcentral. Lineage: Bacteria; Pseudomonadati; Pseudomonadota; Gammaproteobacteria; Lysobacterales; Lysobacteraceae.